GACGAACGCUGGCGGCGUGCUUAACACAUGCAAGUCGAACGGAAAGGCCCUGCUUUUGUGGGGUGCUCGAGUGGCGAACGGGUGAGUAACACGUGAGUAACCUGCCCUUGACUUUGGGAUAACUUCAGGAAACUGGGGCUAAUACCGGAUAGGAGCUCCUGCUGCAUGGUGGGGGUUGGAAAGUUUCGGCGGUUGGGGAUGGACUCGCGGCUUAUCAGCUUGUUGGUGGGGUAGUGGCUUACCAAGGCUGUGACGGGUAGCCGGCCUGAGAGGGUGACCGGCCACAUUGGGACUGAGAUACGGCCCAGACGCCUACGGGGGGCAGCGGUGGGGAAUAUUGCACAAUGGGCGGAAGCCUGAUGCAGCAACGCCGCGUGCGGGAUGACGGCCUUCGGGUUGUAAACCGCUUUCGCCUGUGACGAAGCGUGAGUGACGGUAAUGGGUAAAGAAGCACCGGCUAACUACGUG
RNAcentral lists this ribosomal RNA (468 nucleotides) under uncultured bacterium. Its description in RNAcentral is "partial 16S ribosomal RNA". It matches the Rfam family "Bacterial small subunit ribosomal RNA", at positions 28 to 507 of the family's 1533-position model. The record is from RNAcentral.